This 292-nucleotide small RNA is filed under the name Pongo abelii (Sumatran orangutan). RNAcentral's name for it is "retained intron". The record is from RNAcentral. Lineage: Eukaryota; Metazoa; Chordata; Mammalia; Primates; Hominidae.
UACUGUUAUCCUAGGUAAAGAUUAACUGAUUCCUCUAGAAAUAGAACAUUUGAGUUGCUUUUUAAAAAAUUUGUUGGAUCUCAAUUUUCUGUAUAUGAAAUUUUUGACAGCUCGAGAUGUCUUUUUAAUGCUAAAGAAGCCAAACUAUAAGAAGCUAGAACUUCAAGUAUAUGCAACCUUCUUUGAAAUUUAUAGUGGAAAGGUGUUUGACUUGCUAAACAGGAAAACAAAAUUAAGAGUUCUAGAAGAUGGAAAACAGCAGGUUCAAGUGGUGGGAUUACAGGAACGGGAG